RNAcentral lists this ribosomal RNA (492 nucleotides) under uncultured bacterium. Its description in RNAcentral is "partial 16S ribosomal RNA". It matches the Rfam family "Bacterial small subunit ribosomal RNA", at positions 29 to 507 of the family's 1533-position model. The record is from RNAcentral.
AGUGAACGCUGGCGGUAGGCCUAACACAUGCAAGUCGAACGGCAGCACAGUAAGAGCUUGCUCUUACGGGUGGCGAGUGGCGGACGGGUGAGGAAUACAUCGGAAUCUACUUUUUCGUGGGGGAUAACGUAGGGAAACUUACGCUAAUACCGCAUACUACCUACGGGUGAAAGCAGGGGAUCUUCGGACCUUGCGCGAUUGUAUGAGCCGAUGUCGGAUUAGCUAGUUGGCGGGGUAAAGGCCCACCAAGGCGACGAUCCGUAGCUGGUCUGAGAGGAUGAUCAGCCACACUGGAACUGAGACACGGUCCAGACUCCUACGGGAGGCAGCAGUGGGGAAUAUUGGACAAUGGGCGCAAGCCUGAUCCAGCCAUACCGCGUGGGUGAAGAAGGCCUUCGGGUUGUAAAGCCCUUUUGUUGGGAAAGAAAAGCAGCAGGUUAAUACCCCGCUGUUCUGACGGUACCCAAAGAAUAAGCACCGGCUAACUUCGUG